This 98-nucleotide microRNA precursor is filed under the name Oryza punctata. RNAcentral's name for it is "pre miRNA MIR439". It matches the Rfam family "MIR439 microRNA precursor family". Lineage: Eukaryota; Viridiplantae; Streptophyta; Magnoliopsida; Poales; Poaceae. The record is from RNAcentral.
AACUACCCUGUCGAACUGGGGCACAGUUCGACAGGUAUCUGUUGAACUGCCCCAGUUCGAUAGGUAUCCCUAUCGAACUGUCCCAGUUCGACAGGGCA